Molecule: ribosomal RNA, 1257 nt
Filed under: metagenome
Description: bacterial LSU rRNA
Rfam family: Bacterial large subunit ribosomal RNA
Source: RNAcentral
GUAUUCUAAGGCGCUUGAGAGAACUCAGGAGAAGGAACUCGGCAAAUUGACACCGUAACUUCGGAAGAAGGUGUGCCCUAUUAGUGUGAAGUGAACAACGGAGCAUGAAUGGGUUGCAAAAAAUCGGUGGCUGCGACUGUUUAUUAAAAACACAGCACUCUGCAAACACGAAAGUGGACGUAUAGGGUGUGACGCCUGCCCGGUGCUGGAAGAUUAAAUGAUGGGGUGCAAGCUCUUGAUUGAAGUCCCAGUAAACGGCGGCCGUAACGAUAACGGUCCUAAGGUAGCGAAAUUCCUUGUCGGGUAAGUUCCGACCUGCACGAAUGGCGUAACGAUGGCCACACUGUCUCCUCCUGAGACUCAGCGAAGUUGAAAUGUUUGUGAUGAUGCAAUCUCCCCGCGGAAAGACGGAAAGACCCCAUGAACCUUUACUGUAGCUUUGUAUUGGACUUUGAACAGAUCUGUGUAGGAUAGGUGGGAGGCUUUGAAGCAGGGUCGCUAGAUCUUGUGGAGCCAACGUUGAAAUACCACCCUGGUGUGUUUGAGGUUCUAACCUAGGUCCAUCAUCUGGAUCGGGGACAGUGCAUGGUAGGCAGUUUGACUGGGGCGGUCUCCUCCCAAAGCGUAACGGAGGAGUUCGAAGGUACGCUAGUUACGGUCGGACAUCGUGACGAUAGUGCAAUGGCAUAAGCGUGCUUAACUGCGAGACUGACAAGUCGAGCAGAUGCGAAAGCAGGACAUAGUGAUCCGGUGGUUCUGUAUGGAAGGGCCAUCGCUCAACGGAUAAAAGGUACUCUGGGGAUAACAGGCUGAUACCGCCCAAGAGUUCAUAUCGACGGCGGUGUUUGGCACCUCGAUGUCGGCUCAUCUCAUCCUGGGGCUGUAGCCGGUCCCAAGGGUAUGGCUGUUCGCCAUUUAAAGAGGUACGUGAGCUGGGUUUAAAACGUCGUGAGACAGUUUGGUCCCUAUCUUCCGUGGGCGCUGCAGAUUUGAGGAAGCCUGCUCCUAGUACGAGAGGACCGGAGUGGACACACCUCUGGUGUAUCGGUUGUCACGCCAGUGGCAUUGCCGAGUAGCUAAGUGUGGAAGAGAUAACCGCUGAAAGCAUCUAAGCGGGAAACUCGUUUCAAGAUGAGAUCUGCCGGGGCCUCGAGCCCCCUGAAGAGUCGUUCAAGACCAGGACGUUGAUAGGUCGGGUGUGGAAGCGCAGUAAUGCGUUAAGCUAACCGAUACUAAUUGCUCGUGCGGCUUGACCCC